This 65-nucleotide transfer RNA is filed under the name Sarcophaga africa. Its description in RNAcentral is "tRNA-His". Lineage: Eukaryota; Metazoa; Arthropoda; Insecta; Diptera; Sarcophagidae. The record is from RNAcentral.
GUUUAAAUAGUUUAAGAAAAAUAUUGAUUUGUGGUGUCAUUGAUGAGAAUUAUUCUCUUUAAACC